RNAcentral lists this long non-coding RNA (411 nucleotides) under Brassica napus (rape). RNAcentral's name for it is "long non-coding RNA (BNAP_LNC015697)". The record is from RNAcentral. Lineage: Eukaryota; Viridiplantae; Streptophyta; Magnoliopsida; Brassicales; Brassicaceae.
GGGGUUCAAAUAGUUUUUCUUAGCUUUAGAAAAAUGCUAUUAUAUGUCUUUGAUAGCCAUUGCUGAAGCCGCUUAAAUAAUGUAUUUGGCGCUUAAGUCUAAUUUCCCGAUAGGUAUUGGCGGAAUUAAUGAUUUUAUCUUUCCGCUCCCUUAAUUUUCUGAAUAGCAUUAAUUAAGUUCUAUUUUAGGUUUCAUUCUAUCAUAGUAUUUCACUACAAGAAAACAUCGGUAUUCUGACGGACAUUCCGACGGAAAAUGAAAUCCUCGGAAUAUACCGAAGAAUUUCCGAGGAAAUUCCGAGGAAACACAAAAUUGGGGUUCCUCGGAAUUUACCGACGGAAUUCCGAGGAAACCUCAGUCCGUCGGAAUAUUCCGAGGAACAAUGUGUUCCUCGGAAAAAACCGAUGAAUU